Molecule: ribosomal RNA, 441 nt
Filed under: uncultured bacterium
Lineage: Bacteria
Description: partial 16S ribosomal RNA
Rfam family: Bacterial small subunit ribosomal RNA
Source: RNAcentral
CCUACGGGAGGCAGCAGUGGGGGAUAUUGCACAAUGGGGGAAACCCUGAUGCAGCGACGCCGCGUGGGCGAAGAAGUAUUUCGGUAUGUAAAGCCCUAUCAGCAGGGAAGAAGAAAUGACGGUACCUGAGUAAGAAGCACCGGCAAAAUACGUGCCAGCAGCCGCGGUAAUACGGAGGAUGCGAGCGUUAUCCGGAUUUAUUGGGUUUAAAGGGUGCGCAGGCGGAUUUAUAAGUCAGUGGUCAAAUCGUGGGGUUCAACCCCAUAUAGCCGUUGAAACUGGGGAUCUAGAGUGUGCGAGAGGUAUGCGGAAUGCGUGGUGUAGCGGUGAAAUGCAUAGAUAUCACGCAGAACACCGAUUGCGAAGGCAGCAUACCGGUGCACAACUGACGCUCAGGAACGAAAGCGUGGGUAUCGAACAGGAUUAGAUACCCUAGUAGUA